AUUGAACGCUGGCGGCAGGCUUAACACAUGCAAGUCGAGCGAGCGGCGGACGGGUGAGUAAUGUCUGGGAAACUGCCUGAUGUAGGGGUAUAACUACUGGAAACGGUAGCUAAUACCGCAUACCAUCAGAUGUGCCCACAUGGGAUUAGCUAUUAGGUUGGGUAAUGGCUCACCUAGGCGACGAUCCCUAGCUGGUCUGAGAGGAUGACCAGCCACACUGGAACUGAGACACGGUCCAGAAUCCUACGGGAGGCAGCAGUGGGGAAUAUGGCGCAAUGGGCGCAAGCCUGAUACAGCCAUGCCGCGUGAGUGAAGAAGGCCUUCGGGUUGUAAAGCACUUUCAGCGAGGAGGCGUUACUCACAGAAGAAGCACCGGCUAACUCCGUGCCAGCAGACGCGGUAAUUC
Molecule: ribosomal RNA, 406 nt
Filed under: uncultured bacterium
Lineage: Bacteria
Description: partial 16S ribosomal RNA
Rfam family: Bacterial small subunit ribosomal RNA
Source: RNAcentral